This 256-nucleotide ribosomal RNA is filed under the name uncultured bacterium. Its description in RNAcentral is "partial 16S ribosomal RNA". It matches the Rfam family "Bacterial small subunit ribosomal RNA", at positions 524 to 776 of the family's 1533-position model. The record is from RNAcentral.
UACGGAGGGAGCUAGCGUUGUUCGGAAUUACUGGGCGUAAAGCGCACGUAGGCGGCUUUGUAAGUUAGAGGUGAAAGCCCGGAGCUCAACUCCGGAAUUGCCUUUAAGACUGCAUCGCUCGAAUCCAGGAGAGGUGAGUGGAAUUCCGAGUGUAGAGGUGAAAUUCGUAGAUAUUCGGAAGAAACACCAGUGGCGAAGGCGGCUCACUGGACUGGUAUUGACGCUGAGGUGGCGAAAAGCGUGGGGAGCGAACAGG